RNAcentral lists this ribosomal RNA (251 nucleotides) under uncultured bacterium. RNAcentral describes it as "partial 16S ribosomal RNA". It matches the Rfam family "Bacterial small subunit ribosomal RNA", at positions 524 to 776 of the family's 1533-position model. The record is from RNAcentral.
AACGGAGGGGGCAAGUGUUCUUCGGAAUGACUGGGCGUAAAGGGCACGUAGGCGGUGAAUCGGGUUGAAAGUGAAAGUCGCCAAAAACUGGCGGAAUGCUCUCGAAACCAAUUCACUUGAGUGAGACAGAGGAGAGUGGAAUUUCGUGUGUAGGGGUGAAAUCCGGAGAUCUACGAAGGAACGCCAAAAGCGAAGGCAGCUCUCUGGGUCCCUACAGACGCUGGGGUGCGAAAGCAUGGGGAGCGAACAGG